AUGUGUCCCAUCUGUGUUGGACCCAUAAAAAGCGGGAUUUGCGCUUGUGGCAAUUCUCGAGCGAGCGGAGCUGAAAACGAAGACGAAAGAUUUUGCCAAAAAUGCGGGGUAGAAUUUGUGGAUUCUCGGAUACGAAGAUAUCAAAUGGGAUACAUCAAACUCGCAUGUCCCGUGACUCAUGUGUGGUAUUUGAAAGGUCUUCCUAGUUAUAUCGCGAAUCUUUUAGAUAAACCUCUUAAGAAGUUGGAGGGCCUAGUAUACGGCGAUUUCUCUUUUGCUAGGCCCAGCACUAAAAAACCCACUUUUUUACGAUUACGAGGUUUAUUCGAAGAGGAAAUUGCAGCACGAUCGAGGAUGUAA
RNAcentral lists this ribosomal RNA (360 nucleotides) under Triticum aestivum (bread wheat). RNAcentral's name for it is "partial small subunit ribosomal RNA". The record is from RNAcentral. Lineage: Eukaryota; Viridiplantae; Streptophyta; Magnoliopsida; Poales; Poaceae.